UCAAUUCAAGCUUCUGAUCAGAUAUUUUUGAACUCAAGCCUUCUAAGAUUUUCUUAAUUUGAAAAAUCACUAUAAAAAUCUCAAGAGCAUUCAUAGCAUUAAACACUUUUCAAUUCCAUGAACAUUGUGCAAGCACAACAUUGCUGUUAUUGUUGAAGCUCAUAUUACUAACUAUCAGCCUUAAGUGAAACACAGGCCAUUAGAUGAUCUCAUUUAAUUACAUCAAUCACAAGCUAUGAGUUGAGCAACUAAACCACCAUGAUUGACUUAAUUAAAGUUACAAAUAAAAAGACAUACGCACUAGUUGGGAUCCAUAGGGUUAGUACCCCGCUGACGAAGUGCUAUGAUUACUCGGACCUUCAAGCCGUAGUGCCUAACCAUGGCCAGAAGCUCCUCGUGUGCUCGCCAACUAUAGACCCCAGGCUGCUCCCUUCUACCAGACCACACCUUAACUCUACGACAAUUCCCUCUACUCUUGUCAAGGCCAAUAAUUACAAGGAUAUUCUCAUUGACUUGCGCCUUGGCAGUAGUCCCUCAGGGCCUAAGGUGCCCCCAGGAAUUUUCACGAACACAGGCGAUCCUUCCAUCGUCCAGGUCACGAUUUGAUGCUGCAGCUCGUAUUAAAGAUCCCUGUUGUUGGGGGGAGAUAGAGCUGCGAGAAUCAAACGAGCUGGACGAGUUGAGGUGUGAGAAUAGGGUGAGUUGACCGCGAGUUUGCGAGUAAGUUGCAUAGAACUUGGAGCAAGUUAGCGACAUAGACUGGAAGUGAGUGAGGUGAGUCGACUGUGUCAGAAAGCAAUAGAAGGAAGCUGAGAAUCUUAGAGUUGACGGAGAUGCAAAUACCAUUGAAUGAGCAAAUUUUACAGUCGGAAUAUCUGCCACUAUGCAUGUGUUUUGCAGAAGUGCGAGAAACGAAGAAAGAGGAUGCAGAGUCGAGAAUAGAGAGUGCAAGGAAAACGAUGUUGACGAAAAG
Molecule: long non-coding RNA, 973 nt
Filed under: Carica papaya (papaya)
Lineage: Eukaryota; Viridiplantae; Streptophyta; Magnoliopsida; Brassicales; Caricaceae
Description: long non-coding RNA (CPAP_LNC011462)
Source: RNAcentral